CGGUGGAGCAUGUGGUUUAAUUCGAAGCAACGCGAAGAACCUUACCAAAUCUUGACAUCCUCUGACCCCUCUAGAGAUAGAGUUUUCCCCUUCGGGGGACAGAGUGACAGGUGGUGCAUGGUUGUCGUCAGCUCGUGUCGUGAGAUGUUGGGUUAAGUCCCGCAACGAGCGCAACCCUUAAGCUUAGUUGCCAUCAUUAAGUUGGGCACUCUAAACAGACUGCCGGUGACAAACCGGAGGAAGGUGGGGAUGACGUCAAGUCAGCAUGCCCCUUAGUCCUGGGCUACACACGUACUACAAUGGUAGGGACAGAGGGCAGCCAACCCGCGAGGGCGAGCUAAUCCCGUAAACCCUGCCUCAGUUCAGAUUG
RNAcentral lists this ribosomal RNA (370 nucleotides) under uncultured bacterium. Its description in RNAcentral is "bacterial SSU rRNA". It matches the Rfam family "Bacterial small subunit ribosomal RNA", at positions 930 to 1300 of the family's 1533-position model. The record is from RNAcentral.